RNAcentral lists this ribosomal RNA (1450 nucleotides) under Oceanobacillus profundus. RNAcentral's name for it is "16S ribosomal RNA". It matches the Rfam family "Bacterial small subunit ribosomal RNA". Lineage: Bacteria; Bacillati; Bacillota; Bacilli; Caryophanales; Bacillaceae. The record is from RNAcentral.
GCUUGCGGCGUGCCUAUACAUGCAGUCGAGCGCGGGAAGCAGCUAGAUCCCUUCGGGGUGACAGUUGUGGAACGAGCGGCGGACGGGUGAGUAACACGUGGGCAACCUGCCUGUAAGAUGGGGAUAACUCGCGGAAACGUGAGCUAAUACCGAAUAAUGCUUUUCAUCUCCUGAUGAGUUGAUGAAAGACGGCUUCGGCUGUCACUUACAGAUGGGCCCGCGGCGCAUUAGCUAGUUGGUGGGGUAAUGGCUCACCAAGGCGACGAUGCGUAGCCGACCUGAGAGGGUGAUCGGCCACACUGGGACUGAGACACGGCCCAGACUCCUACGGGAGGCAGCAGUAGGGAAUCUUCCGCAAUGGACGAAAGUCUGACGGAGCAACGCCGCGUGAGUGAUGAAGGUUUUCGGAUCGUAAAACUCUGUUGUUAGGGAAGAACAAGUGUGAGAGUAACUGCUCACACCUUGACGGUACCUAACCAGAAAGCCACGGCUAACUACGUGCCAGCAGCCGCGGUAAUACGUAGGUGGCAAGCGUUGUCCGGAAUUAUUGGGCGUAAAGCGCUCGCAGGCGGUCUUUUAAGUCUGAUGUGAAAGCCCACGGCUUAACCGUGGAGGGUCAUUGGAAACUGGAGGACUUGAGUACAGAAGAGGAGAGUGGAAUUCCACGUGUAGCGGUGAAAUGCGUAGAGAUGUGGAGGAACACCAGUGGCGAAGGCGACUCUCUGGUCUGUAACUGACGCUGAGGAGCGAAAGCGUGGGGAGCGAACAGGAUUAGAUACCCUGGUAGUCCACGCCGUAAACGAUGAGUGCUAGGUGUUAGGGGGUUUCCGCCCCUUAGUGCUGCAGUUAACGCAUUAAGCACUCCGCCUGGGGAGUACGGCCGCAAGGCUGAAACUCAAAAGAAUUGACGGGGACCCGCACAAGCGGUGGAGCAUGUGGUUUAAUUCGACGCAACGCGAAGAACCUUACCAGGUCUUGACAUCCUCUGACAACCCUAGAGAUAGGGCUUUCCCUUCGGGGACAGAGUGACAGGUGGUGCAUGGUUGUCGUCAGCUCGUGUCGUGAGAUGUUGGGUUAAGUCCCGCAACGAGCGCAACCCUUGAUCUUAGUUGCCAGCAUUUAGUUGGGCACUCUAAGGUGACUGCCGGUGACAAACCGGAGGAAGGUGGGGAUGACGUCAAAUCAUCAUGCCCCUUAUGACCUGGGCUACACACGUGCUACAAUGGAUGGAACAAAGGGAAGCUAAACCGCGAGGUCAAGCAAAUCCCAUAAAACCAUUCUCAGUUCGGAUUGUAGGCUGCAACUCGCCUACAUGAAGCCGGAAUCGCUAGUAAUCGCGGAUCAGCAUGCCGCGGUGAAUACGUUCCCGGGUCUUGUACACACCGCCCGUCACACCACGAGAGUUGGUAACACCCGAAGUCGGUGAGGUAACCUUUUAGGAGCCAGCCGC